This 21-nucleotide non-coding RNA is filed under the name Caenorhabditis elegans. Lineage: Eukaryota; Metazoa; Nematoda; Chromadorea; Rhabditida; Rhabditidae. The record is from RNAcentral.
UAAACUUGGGAAAAAAUGGUC